GUUUUUCUAGGUAAGUGUUGAAAUUUAACAGUUGUGAAAAACAUAAAAGGAAACAAGCAAUGUGAGAUUCUUUACUAAACCUCUCUGUAUCUCAUGAUAUAUCUGCAGUGAUACUCUAGCUCAAAAUGGGUGAGAUGGUUGUUGGCAUACCUGCACAUCUGAGUGAUCCAAAAGGUUCUUGCCAUGACGCUUGCAAAGGUGCUGAACGUGAUGAUCAAACAACAAUAGCAAGGACUUCCCUGCUGAGUAGAAUGGUAGUAGCAUCAGAAAAAAUACCAGAACCGGCUACAACUGUACAGGUGCAGAUACGGAAGAAACCACUACGCUCGAGUAAGCUGCCUGUGAAUUUCAAGAGGCGUACAACUGGUAAAUCACAGAGACAGGAGAUCCCGGCAUACACCAAGAGAUUAGCUGUUUCAG
Molecule: unclassified non-coding RNA, 420 nt
Filed under: Hevea brasiliensis (rubber tree)
Lineage: Eukaryota; Viridiplantae; Streptophyta; Magnoliopsida; Malpighiales; Euphorbiaceae
Source: RNAcentral